AUUGAACGCUGGCGGCAUGCCUUACACAUGCAAGUCGAACGGUAACAGGUCUUCGGAUGCUGACGAGUGGCGAACGGGUGAGUAAUACAUCGGAACGUGCCUAGUAGUGGGGGAUAACUACUCGAAAGAGUGGCUAAUACCGCAUGAGAUCUACGGAUGAAAGCAGGGGAUCGCAAGACCUUGUGCUACUAGAGCGGCCGAUGGCAGAUUAGGUAGUUGGUGGGAUAAAAGCUUACCAAGCCGACGAUCUGUAGCUGGUCUGAGAGGACGAUCAGCCACACUGGGACUGAGACACGGCCCAGACUCCUACGGGAGGCAGCAGUGGGGAAUUUUGGAAAAUGGGCGCAAGCCUGAUCCAGCAAUGCCGCGUGCGGGAUGAAGGCCUUCGGGUUGUAAACUGCUUUUGUACGGAACGAAAAGCCCCGGGUUAAUACCCUGGGGUCAUGACGGUACCGUAAGAAUAAGCACCGGCUAACUACGUGCCAGCCGCCGCCGUAA
RNAcentral lists this ribosomal RNA (498 nucleotides) under uncultured bacterium. RNAcentral describes it as "partial 16S ribosomal RNA". It matches the Rfam family "Bacterial small subunit ribosomal RNA", at positions 30 to 523 of the family's 1533-position model. The record is from RNAcentral.